AAACUCUGGAGAAUCCCUUUUUUGGGUGCCGAAGGUGCAAGAUCGUUUCGAUCGAAUCUCUCAGGCCAAAGGACAGAGCGA
This 81-nucleotide non-coding RNA is filed under the name human gut metagenome. RNAcentral describes it as "Glycine riboswitch". It matches the Rfam family "Glycine riboswitch aptamer", at positions 9 to 86 of the family's 94-position model. Rfam says of the family: This family represents the bacterial glycine riboswitch. Glycine riboswitches usually consist of two metabolite-binding aptamers domains with similar structures in tandem. The record is from RNAcentral.